This is a long non-coding RNA of Gasterosteus aculeatus aculeatus (three-spined stickleback), 2947 nucleotides long. The record is from Ensembl. Lineage: Eukaryota; Metazoa; Chordata; Actinopteri; Perciformes; Gasterosteidae.
GCGAUGGCGCGCUAAACGUUUUUCGCAUCCACUUUGAUGUCAGACCUUUUUUUCUUUAUUUCGGCCACGGCCCGAGGUUGUGAGGCUGCAGCGUUGCUCUGAAACCUUUUGCCAGCCACUCAAGUGCCUUUUUGGUUAGUAAGACCCUAACUGUGCCCUUCAUAAAGCAUUUUACUUCUCCUUUCCACCCCGCCAAUGAUCAUUUCGACUUCACACUGGGUGAAGUUACGUUUCUUCGUUUUCCUCUCAGUGUUUGUCAUGAUUUCGCAAUCGAUGAAUAUUGAUUUGUGGGCGUUCCACAGACUAUAUAUGGGCAACUAUGGGCGUGAUAUGAAGCCGCAAAAGCUGCGGAGCAUUUAGAAGUGAUAGUGAUUUCAUCCGUACGCCACUUCUCCUACGCAAGGUUUUAUAAAUGAGGCCCCUGGACCCUACACUGCCUGACAGCCGCACACUGGCUCAGAAGGAAAAGGAGAAGAGGAUGAUGUCAGAUGCUGUACACUACAACAGGCGUCACCGUGCAUAAAUGCACAGUGUCUUGUCACCAGGAGAACCUGUAUGGGUCACCGACGCUAAGACGUCUGGAACUGUCAUCCAGAACCACACCCCAGAGGCUUUAAUUUUGAAGAGCUGUGGUCUCCCCCUGUUCAUUCCUGAAGGGUGUGGCUGGAACAGCGGACGGCAUUCAGCCAUCAGGGGACUCUCAUAUCAUCCCGGGUCUUCCUGCCAUUCAGCGCCAGAUCGUUCCAACGUCAGAGUGGUAAACUACUUUUUCAGGCCAUCUGGCUGCUCGCUGUGGAUUAGACGCUGUCUUUGUUUCUGUUCUUUUUCUGUUUUUGCCCUAGUGCUUGAGGAUUCCUACCUGCCGGCUGGCAGGCUCUCAGAGUCCGGUCUCCCCCCCCCGACUCAACCGGUACCUGUGUGCCAAAUUGUGUGUGUACGAUCUGAAUAAACACCUUGUUUUCACGUCGGAAGAACCUUCCUUUGAGUCCUGUGUGCUGCGCUUGGGCCCACGCCCAUCUACCUCACCGUAACUGUCAGGGGUGCCUGGGGAAGGCCGGACUCAAGAUCCAGACUUAACCAAAAAGACUUUAAUAGUCAAAAAAGGCCACAAAGCAAAAGGCCAAUGGGCAAAAACACACACAGGAACUGGGGGCAAAAAGGCACACAGGAACCGAGAACAUCCAGGACGAUAGACAAUGACGCGACAAGUGACACAAGAGACACACGGCUUAAAUAUACCUGGGAGGUGAAGGUGAUUGGACACAGGUGGAAACAAUCAGACAAUUACAGGGGAUGACAGGACCAGGCAGGAAGUGAAGUUACCCAGGGAGACAAUAAGCAGAAAACUACAAAAUAAGACAGGAAAUAAAACCACACCGUGACAGUAACAGAUUAUCCCUGUUUAACUGAUGUUGUCUGAUUGUGUACUAUCAACCUGAAUUGAAUUAAUUAUAUGACUAUUGAUUGUUUCCUUUUAAAUGCCAUCGGAAAUAUACUAGAAUUUGGCUCCCAAAUUACAUUUUGACAGGAUUUAAUUUUGAAAUGCUACAUCCGAAUGUCCUGAUUAUCCAAAACUAAUAUAAAUUGAACAAAAGUUGGCUCAUGAAUGAGAUUUUAAAGGAAGUUGGCUCAUGUAUAACAUUGUUUGAAAUGCUACAUAAGAAUAGGUAUUUCUUGAUAUUUUCUGGUCUGUCUGAAUGAAUUAUUUCUAUAUGUAUUUGAAUAAUUACACAAUUGACAUAACAUUAUCAUUUAUAGACUAUAUAUCUAGUUCUUAGAUAGAUAGAUAGAUAGAUAGGUACUUUAUUGAUCCCUCAAGAGGGAAAUGUUGGUAUCACAGCAGCAUGUACAGGGAAGAAAAUAGAAUAAAAAGAUACACAUUAUAUACAAUAUAAUAAGAUAGAAAUAUUAAAUUAUUAUAUUAAAUUAAAUAAACUAAAACUGAAACAAAAGAAUAACCUUCCAAAAGAGACAAUAAUAAUAAUUUGUAAAAGGAGAAGAGGAAGAUGAAGAGCAGCAACAUCACAGCAGUACAGGGUUAUUAUUGUCAUUAUUUAGCCUGGGAUGAUUUAUUGUAAAGUGUUAUUGCACUGGGCAGGAAUGAUCUCCUGUAUCAGUCCUUGUGACAGCGGAGCUGAAGGAGUCUGUUGGAGAACGCGCUCCGCUGUCCCUGUAGCAGGUGGUGAAGGGGGUGGUCAGGAUUAUCCAAUAUGGAUAACAGUUUCUUCAGUGACCUCCCCUCCAACACCUUUUCCAAGCUGUCCUGUUUGCAGCCAAUGAUGGAGCCGGCCUUCUUAACAAGUUUGUUAAGUCUGUUGGUGUCACUGGCUCAAAUGCUGCUCCCCCAGCAGACCACGGCCAAGUACAAAGCACUGGCCACAACAUCUCCAACAUCUUGCUGCACACAUGGAAGGAUCGAAGCUUCCUCAGGAAAAAGAGUCGACUCAUUCCCUUCCUGUAGACGGCGUUGAUGUUGGUCUUCCAGUUCAGUCUGUUGUCGAUGGAGACACCCAGGUACUUGUAGUCCUCGACCAUGGCCACCUCCUCUCCCAGAACCCUCAGCGGUAGCGGAGCCGUUGUCUUCCUCCAGAAGUCGACCACCAUCUCUCUGGUCUUGGCCACGUUCAGGAGCAGGUGUUACAACUAACAUGCAGACUGGCUUGAUCGCAGUGAAAAGAAGCGCCCUUUGGGUGGAUCAUCUUGUUGUUGGAUACUUUCAAAUGAUCGGUUGACGGUCGGAAAUAUUCUCUACUAGAAAGUUGCACUUUGCUCCUCUUAAAUAACUAGAACAUGAUAUGUGAUAUUCAGGGGCAAACGCUAAUAGUAACAAAAUGUUUAGUGGCGACAAAAUAUAUUUGGAAGACCAAUGAGAAGAUUUUUUUUUAAAAGAGUGGGAUCUGAAAUUGUUUUAACGAAGCGACAAAUGGCUAUUCCCACAGUCUGCCGU